RNAcentral lists this long non-coding RNA (982 nucleotides) under Phasianus colchicus (ring-necked pheasant). RNAcentral's name for it is "lncRNA (ENSPCLG00000018534.1)". The record is from RNAcentral. Lineage: Eukaryota; Metazoa; Chordata; Aves; Galliformes; Phasianidae.
AUGCAGAGUGAGGUGACCGCUCAAAACAGAGCGGCUUCGCCCCGGCUGGGUGCUGCUGAGUCGCCAGCUUCACCGCUCCGAGUGCGGUGGGCGCUGGCGAAGGCUAACGGCGAAAUGGCAGGCAGCGAGGCAGACAGCGUGGAGGUCGCCAUGUUGUACGGAGCGCUGGGGGGCGCCAUGCUGUACGGCGCUGCCGCCAGGACGGCGGUUUGGGGCGGCGCGCAGGCGCGGCGGUUAGAUUUGAAUUGUGAGGCGGCAGCGGCGGCCCAGCCCUAUGGGCGCUGCGGGGGUCAGCGGCGGAGAGCGGCCGUGAGUGUACUAUAUUAUAUAGGAGAAACACUUCUUGCAGAAAUGGACAAGAUUUACCUGGACUCUAACGUGGAGAAUGAUAACACAGAGCACAUCAGAGGAAAACGACUGUCCUCUAUUUUAAAGGCUCCACGAAAUCCUCUUGAUGAUCUGGGAAAUGGGAAUGAACUCACUCAGGAUCUCAACAUAGAAAAACGUAGGAAAAGCUCCCGACGUGUCAGCUUUGCCGACACCAUAAACUGCAGGGUCUUCCAUCGAGAUCUUAAGAAUAAUGCAGCAGAAAGAGAAAAUGAAGGUAACGUUCCUUUCUGUCCUGAUGGAUUCCCCAGACUUAGCAACAAGAUUACAACCCAGAAUUUAGGAAGUCAGGCUUGUCAGUCACAGAUAGGGAACAAUAUGGUCAGCUGUUUAUAAUAGACAGGAUAACAACCCAUUGGUUACUAGCACUGUUGGACCUGUUAGCUCAGAGUAGAAAUUACUUUAUUUUUAGACAACAGGCGGCUAGAACAAAAUCUGCUUCAGUGAUUUAGAUUAAAAGAAGGCUGUGAAGAAUGUCACAUUCAGUCUGUCAAAGAUUACCUAGUAAAAAUCUGAAAAGCUAAUGCUUUUUCAAGUACUUUGCUUCCCUGGGUUUUUGCCACAAUAAAAAGAAACAUCAAAGGUGAGAACUUCA